Molecule: ribosomal RNA, 576 nt
Filed under: uncultured bacterium
Lineage: Bacteria
Description: bacterial SSU rRNA
Rfam family: Bacterial small subunit ribosomal RNA
Source: RNAcentral
ACGGGUGAGUAACACGUAGGAAUCUGCCCUAAAGUGGGGGGUAACUCGAGGAAACUCGAGCUAAUACCGCAUAAUAUCUUCGGAUUAAAGCUAGGCGUAAGUCUGGCGCUUUAGGAGGAGCCUGCGUCUGAUUAGCUAGUUGGUAGGGUAAAGGCCUACCAAGGCGACGAUCAGUAGCUGGUCUGAGAGGAUGAUCAGCCACACUGGGACUGAGACACGGCCCAGACUCCUACGGGAGGCAGCAGUGGGGAAUAUUGGACAAUGGGGGCAACCCUGAUCCAGCAAUGCCGCGUGUGUGAAGAAGGCCUUAGGGUUGUAAAGCACUUUAGGCGGGGAAGAAGGUUUGCAGUUUAAGAGAUAGCAAAUUUGACGGUACCCGCAGAAUAAGCACCGGCUAACUCUGUGCCAGCAGCCGCGGUAAUACAGAGGGUGCAAGCGUUAAUCGGAUUUACUGGGCGUAAAGGGCGCGUAGGUGGUUAAGUAAGUGAGAUGUGAAAGCCCCGGGCUUAACCUGGGAACUGCGUCUUAUACUGCAUAGCUUGAGUACAUGAGAGGGUAGUGGAAUUUCCGGUGUAG